Molecule: ribosomal RNA, 164 nt
Filed under: uncultured bacterium
Lineage: Bacteria
Description: partial 16S ribosomal RNA
Rfam family: Bacterial small subunit ribosomal RNA
Source: RNAcentral
UAGGGAAUCUUCCACAAUGGACGCAAGUCUGAUGGAGCAACGCCGCGUGAGUGAAGAAGGGUUUCGGCUCGUAAAGCUCUGUUGUUAAAGAAGAACAUAUCUGAGAGUAACUGUUCAUACGUUGACGGUAUUUAACCAGAAAGUCACGGCUAACUACGUGCCAG